Molecule: long non-coding RNA, 225 nt
Organism: Sinocyclocheilus anshuiensis
Lineage: Eukaryota; Metazoa; Chordata; Actinopteri; Cypriniformes; Cyprinidae
Exons: 3
Source: RefSeq, a predicted model, not a curated record
AUCACUCCAGUCUGCAGGUCAGUUGGGAUUUGAACACUGGAGCGUGCCAUACAGUCGGUGUCGGUGACCUCACUGAGGUCAAAGGUCAGACCAGUGGAAGCGUGUGGAGCUCCUACAGGAAGUCGUGUGUGAACACUGUCAUGCGGUGGCUCGUUCCCGAGAGCAGCUCGCGCUACAUCAACCGCAUGACCAAUGAGGCUCUGCAUAAAGGUUCUUCUCUUCAGG